AGUGAACGCUGGCGGCAGGCCCAACACAUGCAAGUCGAGCGGCAGCGGGUUCCCGCGAGGGGAUGCCGGCGAGCGGCGGACGGGUGAGGAACACAUCGGAAUCUGCCUGGGUUGUGGGGGAUAACGUAGGGAAACUUACGCUAAUACCGCAUGAGACCCUGAGUCGACGGACUGGGGGUGAAAGUGAGGGACCUUCGGGCCUCACGCGACCAGAUGAGCCGAUGUCGGAUAGCUAGUUGGCGGGGUAACGGCCCGCCAAGGCGACGAUCCGUAGCUGGUCUGAGAGGAUGAUCAGCCACACUGGGACUGAGACACGGCCCAGACUCCUACGGGAGGCAGCAGUGGGGAAUCUUGGACAAUGGGCNCAAGCCUGAUCCAGCCAUGCCG
Molecule: ribosomal RNA, 387 nt
Filed under: uncultured bacterium
Lineage: Bacteria
Description: bacterial SSU rRNA
Rfam family: Bacterial small subunit ribosomal RNA
Source: RNAcentral